CAAAUAAAACCAGCAGAGCAGCCAUGAAUCCUUUUUCCUGCAAAAUCCAUGCCUUUAAAAUCUCCUUCUAACGCUUCAAUCCGUACUCUCAUCAAUUCUUGCAAAACUAUCGGCCACCUCUACCAGUUGCACGCUCUCAUAAUCCGCAAAGGACUCGAGCAAGAUCACUUUCUCGUUUCCUACCUUCUCAACCGCUCCAAUUCUGUUUCCUAUGCCUUAUCCAUUUUUGAUCGCCUUCUCACUCCCUCCACUCUCCCCUACAACAUCCUUCUCAAAAUCUACUCCCAC
RNAcentral lists this unclassified non-coding RNA (288 nucleotides) under Hevea brasiliensis (rubber tree). Lineage: Eukaryota; Viridiplantae; Streptophyta; Magnoliopsida; Malpighiales; Euphorbiaceae. The record is from RNAcentral.